CCGCCAUGAGCUUAUCAGGAAAGAGCGCCAGCCUUCGAAGCUGGUUGCGCGGAGUUCGGGUCCCCGAUGGCGGUCCA
This 77-nucleotide transfer RNA is filed under the name Escherichia coli. RNAcentral's name for it is "tRNA-Arg". It matches the Rfam family "tRNA". From Rfam's summary of the family: Transfer RNA (tRNA) molecules are approximately 80 nucleotides in length. Their secondary structure includes four short double-helical elements and three loops (D, anti-codon, and T loops). Lineage: Bacteria; Pseudomonadati; Pseudomonadota; Gammaproteobacteria; Enterobacterales; Enterobacteriaceae. The record is from RNAcentral.